GGUGAAUUAAGUUUUAACAACUUUUACCUCAAUGUUUACAGGAAAUCUGACGAGAAUCUUGAUGAGAAUCAACAAAAAACAGUUGAAUCUUGAGCUUGGAUCUGCCAUCUGAGGGAUCUUGAAGUCAUUAAGUCUCAAACAUCAUCCCCGCUGCUCCGACCGUGCUCCUCCGUCCUCUUGGAUUUGGUUCUGAUAUCAAGACUCUCGCACUGCAUGGGAAUACCCAAGGUCAGCCCGUGAACCCCAACUGGAUCCACAGAACGUGUUUGGAUAGGUGCACGUCAGAGCCUGAGACACGGACAGUUUGAUGGGAACCAUCAUAUGCUUCGGACCAGUCAGCCAAAAAAUGAAGCCACUGUGACAGUAACUGGCAACGGAGAGCAGCAGUCCUGCGGCCGUCGGAGGAUCAGCACAUACGGCAUCUGAUCCCACUGAGCGUGAGAUAUGUCCCACUGCCUCCAGCUGCUGUUUGAUCCCAAUUUAUUGCUCUGUGUUUUGGGUUGUUGGUCUAACCCAGACCUCACUAGACCUCC
This 533-nucleotide long non-coding RNA is filed under the name Takifugu rubripes (torafugu). Its description in RNAcentral is "lncRNA (ENSTRUG00000031089.1)". The record is from RNAcentral. Lineage: Eukaryota; Metazoa; Chordata; Actinopteri; Tetraodontiformes; Tetraodontidae.